UCGAGAAUAUUCGACAAUGGGCGAAAGCCUGAUCGAGCGACGCCGCGUGCAGGAUGAAGGCCCUCGGGUUGUAAACUGCGGUAGUAGGGGAGGAACGCAAGUGACUGUACCCUACGGAAAGUGGUUGGUAACUACGUGCCAGCACCAGCGGUAAUACGUAGACCACAAGCGUUAUCCGGAUUUAUUGGGCGUAAAGAGCAUGUAGGAGGUCCGGUGCGUCUCUGGUUAAAGCCCACCGCCUAACGGUGGAAGUGCCAGAGAUACGAUCGGACUGGAGGAUGUGAGAGGUGCAUGGAACUCACGGUGUAGGGGUGAAAUCCGUUGAUAUCGUGGGGAACACCAAAGGCGAAGGCAGUGCACUGGUACAUUCCUGACUCUGAGAUGCGAAAGCGUGGGGAG
This 399-nucleotide ribosomal RNA is filed under the name uncultured bacterium. RNAcentral's name for it is "bacterial SSU rRNA". It matches the Rfam family "Bacterial small subunit ribosomal RNA", at positions 355 to 768 of the family's 1533-position model. The record is from RNAcentral.